RNAcentral lists this long non-coding RNA (561 nucleotides) under Manihot esculenta (cassava). RNAcentral describes it as "long non-coding RNA (MESC_LNC001112)". The record is from RNAcentral. Lineage: Eukaryota; Viridiplantae; Streptophyta; Magnoliopsida; Malpighiales; Euphorbiaceae.
GCUACCUUAUAAGCGUAACGGUGAUUUGGGUGGCUGCAGAUUAGCCAUCGAAGCCUCAGCUUCAGUUCUAUUUGAAGAAGAAUCCAUUGACAAGCUUUCGAUAUUGAGUACUUGAGCUUCCAACCUCUCCUCCUCUGAUGAAGCUAAAAACCUCUAAUGAACAGCUCUACCGGCCAAAGACUUAAAAAUUAGGCUUUCUAGUUUUUGAUUUAUUAGAAUGUUUGAUUUAUUGGAAUGUUUGAUUGGAGAUAAUUUAAGACUCUAGAUGUCUGGACUUUUCCAAGCUUACUUUGGGGGAGAAUUACAUAAGGGAAAGUUAAAGUUAGAUUACUAAGUGGGAUAAUGAUUGGCUUCCUAGAAAUUUGGGCCAGAAAAACCCAACAAAGUAAUUAAAUGGGCCGCAUUCGGAGGAACAAACUCAUUUACUAUUAUCUUCGACUUUUUUCCAUCCGUACCUUUUUCUAUUGUAGCCUUUCUUUUUCCCAAUAGAUGAUCCAAUGAACCCUCAGAAACAUCACUUAUUGACGAAGACGGCUCAUUAGACAAACUAGGAUCUCUUCG